UACGAAGGGGGCUAGCGUUGUUCGGAAUUACUGGGCGUAAAGGGCGCGUAGGCUGUGCUGUAAGUCAGGCGUGAAAGCCCCGGGCUCAACCUGGGAAUUGCGCUUGAUACUGCGGCGCUGGAAGGUGGGAGAGGAUGGCGGAAUUCCCAGUGUAGAGGUGAAAUUCGUAGAUAUUGGGAAGAACACCGGUGGCGAAGGCGGCCUUCUGGACAGUGACUGACGCUGAGACGCGAAAGCGUGGGGAGCAAACAGG
Molecule: ribosomal RNA, 253 nt
Filed under: uncultured bacterium
Lineage: Bacteria
Description: partial 16S ribosomal RNA
Rfam family: Bacterial small subunit ribosomal RNA
Source: RNAcentral